This is a long non-coding RNA of Chinchilla lanigera (long-tailed chinchilla), 420 nucleotides long. RefSeq lists it as uncharacterized. Lineage: Eukaryota; Metazoa; Chordata; Mammalia; Rodentia; Chinchillidae. The transcript is spliced from 3 exons. The record is from RefSeq and is a predicted model, not a curated record.
UGGCUGUUAGCAUAGUCACAGUUCUGCAACCGACAUGAUAAAUUUUAGAACAUUCAUCGCACCCAAAGAACAUUCCGUCCCCAUUAGCAAUCAUUCUUCCCCACUCACCCUUCCCCAUGCCCUAGGCAACGACGAAUUAUGCAUCUGCUUUCUGUUCCUAAGACUUUGAUUACUUUAGAUACCUCGGUUCUUCCUCUACCAAUAGGGAGCCAACCUCCCGUAAUGAGAUGAAAUUUUAUAACCUCCUGUUCCCAUAACAUCCUAUUAUGUUUGAACAUGGCCACCAAGAUACAAACCCAUCACAGCUUGACCAGCUGCCUUUGUUCUCAUUCUGCCCACCCAGAAGUUCCAUGCCAAAGACCGAAUGUAUAAAAGCUGGAAUAUGUCCUCUGCUCAGCCAUGUUGUUGUUAACGGCUGAG